CUAAGGGAUAGCCUGAUCAGCGAAAAGCCGUUGUCCUGGACGGCCUGCCCUUAAUUCUACUUUCCAGGG
This 69-nucleotide small RNA is filed under the name Candidatus Brocadia sinica JPN1. Its description in RNAcentral is "int-alpA RNA". It matches the Rfam family "int-alpA RNA". Rfam says of the family: Acidobacteria (1 example), Planctomycetes (1 example), Proteobacteria. Environment (Lake Washington) Lineage: Bacteria; Pseudomonadati; Planctomycetota; Candidatus Brocadiia; Candidatus Brocadiales; Candidatus Brocadiaceae. The record is from Rfam by way of RNAcentral.